This 882-nucleotide long non-coding RNA is filed under the name Pongo abelii (Sumatran orangutan). RNAcentral's name for it is "lincRNA". The record is from RNAcentral. Lineage: Eukaryota; Metazoa; Chordata; Mammalia; Primates; Hominidae.
UGAGGUCCCAUGUCUGUUUAUGCGGUGGCUCGCUGCUCAGGAUGGGAUGGCAGAGAUGAACACCACCAUCAAAAACUCAAGGACCAGUGCUAUUGGUCCGGUCAUCUGUUUCAUGGAAUUCACCAGUCUGGUAUCUUCAGAAUCCAGAAGGAUGAUGGCAGAUGGCAGGAAAGAACCAUUGGAGAUACUCGUUACUCUUUGAAGGCUUACAGUGGAAUGAAUUCAAAUAUGACUUAUUUGAGGAAUUGAAGUUGACUUUAUGGAGCUGAUAAGAAUCUUCUUGGAAAAAAAAAGACUGGAUAUAUUUUCAAUAUGCUUUCCUUUUAAGGUCCCGCACCUGUGGAAAGUAAAGAAUGUCACUUUCUGACAGGCUCAGGAACCUCAAGUUAUGUAGGGAUCUCAAGAAGAUUGGGGGAAUUCACCCAGUUCAUACAGGUGAAAUUGCUGUUGCAAAGAUUAUGAAUAUGAGAGAAGUCCAGCAUGGCUGACUUCAUCUCAUGUCUGGCCUCAGGCUGGCUGCCCUUGCUCACUGUUGGGCAUAGGCCAAGCUAGCCAUGGGAGGAAUGUAGUUUAUAGUUUAACUUUGAAGCAAGGAUGAUAAUAGUCUCUCCCUAAAAUGAACCCCUUCCUUGCUCAGGGACUGAAACUACCUUUUUACGACAAAUGAAAGCCCGCAAGAUUAAGACUGUGAGAGGGGCCUGAAUUCUGCUAAAAUGCAGGUGUAGCUGACUGAUAACCAGUCAUUGUCCCACAGCUUGCCUUUCUAUAAUCUGUUGCUCCUCAGGAAUCACAUGGCCAGAGGUCCUGAGAUUUCCAGUCCUGUGACCCCCACCCAGAGAUGGACUUAGUGCAUGAGGACCAUUUUCCACACCCCUAUGAUUU